GAUGAACGCUGGCGGCGUGCCUAAUACAUGCAAGUCGAGCGAACAGACGAGGAGCCUGCUCCUCUGACGUUAGCGGCGGACGGGUGAGUAACACGUGGAUAACCUACCUAUAAGACUGGGAUAACUUCGGGAAACCGGAGCUAAUACCGGAUAAUAUAUUGAACCGCAUGGUUCAAUAGUGAAAGACGGUUUUGCUGUCACUUAUAGAUGGAUCCGCGCCGCAUUAGCUAGUUGGUAAGGUAACGGCUUACCAAGGCAACGAUGCGUAGCCGACCUGAGAGGGUGAUCAGCCACACUGGAACUGAGACACGGUCCAGACUCCUACGGGAGGCAGCAGUAGGGAAUCUUCCGCAAUGGGCGAAAGCCUGACGGAGCAACGCCGCGUGAGUGAUGAAGGUCUUCGGAUCGUAAAACUCUGUUAUUAGGGAAGAACAAAUGUGUAAGUAACUAUGCACGUCUUGACGGUACCUAAUCAGAAAGCCACGGCUAACUACGUG
This 497-nucleotide ribosomal RNA is filed under the name uncultured bacterium. RNAcentral describes it as "partial 16S ribosomal RNA". It matches the Rfam family "Bacterial small subunit ribosomal RNA", at positions 28 to 507 of the family's 1533-position model. The record is from RNAcentral.